GACGAACGCUGGCGGCGUGCCUAAUACAUGCAAGUUGAGCGCUGAAGGUUGGUACUUGUACCAACUGGAUGAGCAGCGAACGGGUGAGUAACGCGUGGGGAAUCUGCCUUUGAGCGGGGGACAACAUUUGGAAACGAAUGCUAAUACCGCAUAAAAACUUUAAACACAAGUUUUAAGUUUGAAAGAUGCAAUUGCAUCACUCAAAGAUGAUCCCGCGUUGUAUUAGCUAGUUGGUGAGGUAAAGGCUCACCAAGGCGAUGAUACAUAGCCGACCUGAGAGGGUGAUCGGCCAAAUUGGGACUGAGACACGGCCCAAACUCCCACGGGAGGCAGCAGUAGGGAAUCUUCGGCAAUGGACGAAAGUCUGACCGAGCAACGCCGCGUGAGUGAAGAAGGUUUUCGGAUCGUAAAACUCUGUUGGUAGAGAAGAACGUUGGUGAGAGUGGAAAGCUCAUCAAGUGACGGUAACUACCCAGAAAGGGACGGCUAACUACGUG
Molecule: ribosomal RNA, 497 nt
Filed under: uncultured bacterium
Lineage: Bacteria
Description: partial 16S ribosomal RNA
Rfam family: Bacterial small subunit ribosomal RNA
Source: RNAcentral